GCAUUGGUGGUUCAGUGGUAGAGUUCUCGUCUGCCAUGCGGGAGACCCGGGUCCGAUUCCCGGCCAAUGCA
This 71-nucleotide transfer RNA is filed under the name Danio rerio (zebrafish). It matches the Rfam family "tRNA". From Rfam's summary of the family: Transfer RNA (tRNA) molecules are approximately 80 nucleotides in length. The record is from Rfam by way of RNAcentral. Lineage: Eukaryota; Metazoa; Chordata; Actinopteri; Cypriniformes; Danionidae.